UGAGUGGCGGACGGGUGAGUAACGCGUGGGCAACCUGGCCUGUACAGGGGGAUAACACUUAGAAAUAGGUGCUAAUACCGCAUAACGGGGGAAGCCGCAUGGCUUUCCCUGAAAACUCCGGUGGUACAGGAUGGGCCCGCGUCUGAUUAGCCAGUUGGCAGGGUAACGGCCUACCAAAGCGACGAUCAGUAGCCGGCCUGAGAGGGCGGACGGCCACACUGGGACUGAGACACGGCCCAGACUCCUACGGGAGGCAGCAG
Molecule: ribosomal RNA, 260 nt
Filed under: uncultured bacterium
Lineage: Bacteria
Description: partial 16S ribosomal RNA
Rfam family: Bacterial small subunit ribosomal RNA
Source: RNAcentral